Schizosaccharomyces cryophilus OY26 is the source of this 75-nucleotide transfer RNA. It matches the Rfam family "tRNA". From Rfam's summary of the family: Transfer RNA (tRNA) molecules are approximately 80 nucleotides in length. Their secondary structure includes four short double-helical elements and three loops (D, anti-codon, and T loops). The record is from Rfam. NCBI's taxonomy places the organism in Eukaryota, Fungi, Ascomycota, Schizosaccharomycetes, Schizosaccharomycetales, Schizosaccharomycetaceae.
UCCCGUUUAGCUCAAUCGGCUUAGAGCGUCCGGCUUUUAACCGGAAGGUUGCGAGUUCGAGUCUCGCAGUGGGAG